GACGAACGCUGGCGGCGUGCUUAACACAUGCAAGUCGAACGGAAAGGCCCUGCUUUUGUGGGGUGCUCGAGUGGCGAACGGGUGAGUAACACGUGAGUAACCUGCCCUUGACUUUGGGAUAACUUCAGGAAACUGGGGCUCAUACCGGAUAGGAGCUCCUGCUGCAUGGUGGGGGUUGGAAAGUUUCGGCGGUUGGGGAUGGACUCGCGGCUUAUCAGCUUGUUGGUGGGGUAGUGGCUUACCAAGGCUUUGACGGGUAGCCGGCCUGAGAGGGUGACCGGCCACAUUGGGACGGAGAUACGGCCCAGACUCCUACGGGAGGCAGCAGUGGGGAAUAUUGCACAAUGGGCGGAAGCCUGAUGAAGCAACGCCGCGUGCGGGAUGACGGCCUUCGGGUUGUAAACCGCUUUCGCCUGUGACGAAGCGUGAGUGACGGUAAUGGGUAAAGAAGCACCGGCUAACUACGUG
RNAcentral lists this ribosomal RNA (468 nucleotides) under uncultured bacterium. Its description in RNAcentral is "partial 16S ribosomal RNA". It matches the Rfam family "Bacterial small subunit ribosomal RNA", at positions 28 to 507 of the family's 1533-position model. The record is from RNAcentral.